AGGACGAACGCUGGCGGCGUGCUUAACACAUGCAAGUCGAGCGGUAAGGCCUUUCGGGGUACACGAGCGGCGAACGGGUGAGUAACACGUGGGUGAUCUGCCCUGCACUCUGGGAUAAGCCUGGGAAACUGGGUCUAAUACCGGAUAUGACCUGCUCUCGCAUGGGGGUGGGUGGAAAGAUUUAUCGGUGCAGGAUGGGCCCGCGGCCUAUCAGCUUGGUUGGUGGGGUAAUGGCCUACCAAGGCGACGACGGGUAGCCGACCUGAGAGGGUGACCGGCCACACUGGGACUGAGACACGGCCCAGACUCCUACGGGAGCAGCAGUGGGAAUAUGCACAAUGGGCGAAAGCCUGAUGCAGCGACGCCGCGUGAGGAUGAAGGCCGUUCGGGUUGUAAACCUCUUUCAGUCGAGGACGAAGCGCAAGUGACGGUACCUGACAGAAGAAGCGACCGCUAACGACGU
This 463-nucleotide ribosomal RNA is filed under the name uncultured soil bacterium. RNAcentral's name for it is "bacterial SSU rRNA". It matches the Rfam family "Bacterial small subunit ribosomal RNA", at positions 26 to 506 of the family's 1533-position model. The record is from RNAcentral.